GGUGGCUCAGUGGUAGAGUGCUUGCCUUGCAUGCAUGAGGCCCCCUGGGUUCGAUUCCCCAGCACCA
RNAcentral lists this transfer RNA (67 nucleotides) under Dipodomys ordii (Ord's kangaroo rat). It matches the Rfam family "tRNA". Rfam says of the family: Transfer RNA (tRNA) molecules are approximately 80 nucleotides in length. The record is from Rfam by way of RNAcentral. Lineage: Eukaryota; Metazoa; Chordata; Mammalia; Rodentia; Heteromyidae.